RNAcentral lists this ribosomal RNA (468 nucleotides) under uncultured bacterium. Its description in RNAcentral is "partial 16S ribosomal RNA". It matches the Rfam family "Bacterial small subunit ribosomal RNA", at positions 28 to 507 of the family's 1533-position model. The record is from RNAcentral.
GACGAACGCUGGCGGCGUGCUUAACACAUGCAAGUCGAACGGAAAGGCCCUGCUUUUGUGGGGUGCUCGAGUGGCGAACGGGUGAGUAACACGUGAGUAACCUGCCCUUGACUUUGGGAUAACUUCAGGAAACUGGGGCUAAUACCGGAUAGGAGCUCCUGCUGCAUGGUGGGGGUUGGAAAGUUUCGGCGGUUGGGGAUGGUCGCGCGGCUUAUCAGCUUGUUGGUGGGGUAGUUGCUUACCAAGGCUUUGACGGGUAGCCGGCCUGAGAGGGUGACCGGCCACAUUGGGACUGAGAUACGGCCCAGAAUGCUACGGGAGGCAGCAGUGGGGAAUAUUGCACAAUGGGCGGAAGCCUGAUGCAGCAACGCCGCGUGCGGAAUGACGGCCUUCGGGUUGUAAACCGCUUUCGACUGUGACGAAGCGUGAGUGACGGUAAUGGGUAAAGAAGCACCGGCUAACUACGUG